Molecule: ribosomal RNA, 433 nt
Filed under: uncultured bacterium
Lineage: Bacteria
Description: partial 16S ribosomal RNA
Rfam family: Bacterial small subunit ribosomal RNA
Source: RNAcentral
AACGAACGCUGGCGGCAUGCCUAACACAUGCAAGUCGAACGAGACCUUCGGGUUUAGUGGCGCACGGGUGCGUAACGCGUGGGAACCUGCCCUUAGGUUCGGAAUAACUCCCCGAAAGGGGUGCUAAUACCGGAGAAUGUCUUCGGACCAAAGAUUUAUCGCCGUUGGAUGGGCCCGCGUUGGAUUAGUUAGUUGGUAGGGUAAAAGCCUACCAAGGCGACGAUCCAUAGCUGGUCUGGGAGGAUGAUCAGCCACACUGGGACUGAGACACGGCCCAGACUCCUACGGGAGGCAGCAGUGGGGAAUAUUGGACAAUGGGCGGAAGCCUGAUCCAGCAAUGCCGCGUGAGUGAUGAAGGCCUUAGGGUUGUAAAGCUCUUUUACCCGGGAUGAUAAUGACAGUACCGGGAGAAUAAGCACCGGCUAACUCCGUG